AUAAGUUGGCAGAGAUAUGCAACCGAUUUAGAAUCAGUCAACAGGAGUUCCUACUUAUU
RNAcentral lists this transfer RNA (59 nucleotides) under Nereis sp. RNAcentral describes it as "tRNA-Leu". The record is from RNAcentral. Lineage: Eukaryota; Metazoa; Annelida; Polychaeta; Phyllodocida; Nereididae.